Molecule: non-coding RNA, 88 nt
Organism: Talaromyces proteolyticus
Lineage: Eukaryota; Fungi; Ascomycota; Eurotiomycetes; Eurotiales; Trichocomaceae
Source: the annotation of a RefSeq genome assembly
GCCCGGUUAUUUCAAUCGGUAGAAUGUCAGACUCUUACCAUCUCCGAAGGAUAUCUGAAAGUUGCGGGUUCAAUCCCCGCAUCGGGCU